CUCCAUGACACCUUGGGACCUGCCUCUUGUGGCGGCCUCCCUUCCUAGGCAUGGAAGAGCAUCAGCUUGUUGAUGGCAAAGCUGCCGCCAUUGCAUUGGUCGCAGAUUCUGACUUGUGCAAGCGACAGAA
Molecule: small nucleolar RNA, 130 nt
Filed under: Ornithorhynchus anatinus (platypus)
Lineage: Eukaryota; Metazoa; Chordata; Mammalia; Monotremata; Ornithorhynchidae
Description: Small nucleolar RNA SNORA24 (ENSOANG00000037174.1)
Rfam family: Small nucleolar RNA SNORA24
About the family: ACA24 is a member of the H/ACA class of snoRNA that guide the sites of modification of uridines to pseudouridines.
Source: Rfam by way of RNAcentral